UCCUGCAUUUAAUUUGUAGAUUUUGCGCCCGCUAUUCUAUAUUCUAUUAUAUCCAUAUAAUUUUAUAAUAUAUAUGAAAGUGUAAUUAAUUAAAAAAAUCCGAUAGAAUAGCGGGCGCAAAAUCUACAAAUUAAAUGCAGGA
This is a non-coding RNA of Paramuricea clavata, 142 nucleotides long. NCBI's taxonomy places the organism in Eukaryota, Metazoa, Cnidaria, Anthozoa, Malacalcyonacea, Plexauridae. The record is from the annotation of a GenBank genome assembly.